UGGUGAACCAGCGGAGGGAUCAUUACAGAGUUGCAAAACUCCCUAAACCAUUGUGAACGUUACCUAAACCGUUGCUUCGGCGGGCGGCCCGGGUCCUUCCCGGCGCCCCCCGGCCCUCGCGGGCGCCCGCCGGAGGUAAACCAAACUAUUGCAUUAAUGGCCUCUCUGAGUCUUCGGUACUGAAUAAGUCAAAACUUUCAACAACGGAUCUCUUGGUUCUGG
This 222-nucleotide unclassified non-coding RNA is filed under the name uncultured fungus. RNAcentral describes it as "partial contains 18S rRNA, ITS1 and 5.8S rRNA". The record is from RNAcentral. Lineage: Eukaryota; Fungi.